UCAGCUCAGGCCUCGCUGAAGACACUGAUGUCUGGCCCUUCAUCUCCGUAGAAGGUAUUGAGUCCUGCGUGGCACCCACAAAGCAUCCACGCAUUGAUCUCUCUGGGAAACGUGUCAGCCGUGGCUGUGGAGAGGCUGGUUUCAUCUGAAGCGUCUGAGGGAACAUUCAGCAUGCAUGAACACACUCUCAUCCUGCUCUUCAGCGGCUAAUACCUCAUUAGCACGCUCUGCGGGGAGGUCACAUGAUAGAUGGCGGUGCGAAUGAAAAAUGAGAUGCUAUGGAGGGGAUGAGAGCCAUGAGAGGCCCUUCUGAAAUAAGCGUGAAGCUGCACAGAUGUGUGGACUCAAUAGAGAAACACCUGGAGAUAACUGC
This is a long non-coding RNA of Carassius carassius (crucian carp), 373 nucleotides long. RefSeq lists it as uncharacterized. The transcript is spliced from 3 exons. NCBI's taxonomy places the organism in Eukaryota, Metazoa, Chordata, Actinopteri, Cypriniformes, Cyprinidae. The record is from RefSeq and is a predicted model, not a curated record.